Molecule: ribosomal RNA, 454 nt
Filed under: uncultured bacterium
Lineage: Bacteria
Description: bacterial SSU rRNA
Rfam family: Bacterial small subunit ribosomal RNA
Source: RNAcentral
CGGCGUGCUUAACACAUGCAAGUCGAACGGUGAACCAGAGCUUGCUCUGGGGAUCAGUGGCGAACGGGUGAGUGACACGUGGGCAACCUGCCCCAGACUCUGGGAUAACCUCGGGAAACCGAUGCUAAUACCGGAUACGACCACUUCGGACAUCCGACGGUGGUGGAAAGUUUUUCGGUCUGGGAUGGGCCCGCGGCCUAUCAGCUAGUUGGUGGGGUAAUGGCCUACCAAGGCGACGACGGGUAGCCGGCCUGAGAGGGCGACCGGCCACACUGGAACUGAGACACGGUCCAGACUCCUACGGGAGGCAGCAGUGGGGAAUAUUGCACAAUGGGCGAAAGCCUGAUGCAGCGACGCCGCGUGAGGGACGACGGCCUUCGGGUUGUAAACCUCUUUCAGCAGGGACGAAGCGAAAGUGACUGUACCUGCAGAAGAAGCACCGGCUAACUACGUG